Molecule: long non-coding RNA, 1515 nt
Filed under: Brassica rapa (field mustard)
Lineage: Eukaryota; Viridiplantae; Streptophyta; Magnoliopsida; Brassicales; Brassicaceae
Description: long non-coding RNA (BRAP_LNC002906)
Source: RNAcentral
UAAAGUCUCAAGAUUUUCCUCUCUCGGAAACAGGUGGUAUGGAAGAUGGAUGACCAUACACAUAUCUUAUCACUCCUGAAUCAGGUUAGUUUUCAGAAGACCCCAAGUAUUGUUUACAUAUUUUGUAAAGUAAAGCUAAUAAGAACCCUACUUAUUGGAUCUUUCUUGUUUACAGAGUGUAUCCACUGAUUUGUCAUGUUUAGUCAAAGUGGUGAAACGUAAGUUGACUUCCCUUAUGAUAGUUUACUUUGCUUUGCCAAUAUAAUCCCUUAUAAGAUCUUUAUUUCUGUGAUCCAAACUAUCCCACGUUUAUAUUAUGCUUCAAGUUAUUGUAUGGAUGUUUAGUUUCUAAGAUGACAUGGUUUGGUUUCAGGGUAGAGGCGAAACUUCUUGAGAAAGAUAACUUUAAACUAGAGAAAGAAUCUUAAUAAUAAUGAGGCCUUUGUCACACAAUAUAUUCCAGAGAUAAUAGUUUGCAAGUUGCCAAUAAAUUUUGCAAGUAGGCAUAGCACUACUGAUAUUCUCAUCGUCACUAUUCUUCAAAACCGACCCUGGUUGGUUGUUUUGAGCAAGAUGCUAGCAUAUUCUGAUUCUUACUUUCUCACUCUGAAUAAUUACAUCAGUAAAGAUUUGAUCAGGGUUUUAUUCCAUUGUUAACAUCUUUUGAUGUAAAAAUUCUAGCCCCAGUGAUCAUUGCUGAGAAUUUACCAGGAGGACCUUCUAAGGAAUGUGUAUGAAAAGGAAGGUAAAAGACAAGAAUUCUUUUGGGCUACAAAUUUCCUGUUGAAAUUUGGAAUCAUUAUCCACAAAUCUAUCCCAAAAAAAACAAGAAGUAUUCUUAUUCCUCUCCAAGUGGUUGCUCCUUUAGCAACUUGGAGAACCCGAACAUGAAGUAAUCACUUGGUUCCUCUAUAAUGGAAGUUUCUGUAGCUCAUGUUCAAGAUGUGUGUUCAAGUAUCAGUACUGCACAAACUUGAGGAAUUUAUUUUCCAGCCUAGUGGUGAGAUAUUAUUAUCACCAAAGGAAUGAUCCCUUUACAAAUUGGGAUUCGGACAAACUUUACUCAAAAGAAGUUUAUCACUAAGAAUCUAUAUAGAGCAGUCCCGUUGAGGCACUAAACAGGCCAUGGUAGCCGAUAACAGUGGAGAUAUUUGCUUUACAUGUUUUUGUCGUCUCUUGGGAAUCUUUGAAUAAAAGAACUUAGAAUCUCCAUGCUCAGAGGCUUUAAAUUGGUUUAACGAGAGAAUAUCUAAGCCCGGACGAAUGUGCUAAUAUUUGCUUUUGAACAACUGAUGCUUGUGUUACCAAAAAAAAAAAAGAGAACAACUGAUGCUAAUCUUCUACCCAUCUGAGACAGAGCAAGUGGAAGCAUGCAUUAGUAGCAGCAGAGAACUGUGUUCAUAUGUGUUGGUUUUGGUGAUUUUUUUUCAGCAGAGAAUUGUUGUUUUUGUUUUAUUGCAUAAAAAUUAGAAGCAAUGCAGUACAUAACUGUUAAUACUUUGAUUAUGUUGCUGA